Molecule: ribosomal RNA, 432 nt
Filed under: uncultured bacterium
Lineage: Bacteria
Description: partial 16S ribosomal RNA
Rfam family: Bacterial small subunit ribosomal RNA
Source: RNAcentral
ACGAACGCUGGCGGCAUGCCUAACACAUGCAAGUCGCACGAGACCUUCGGGUCUAGUGGCGCACGGGUGCGUAACGCGUGGGAACCUGCCCUUAGGUUCGGAAUAACUCCCCGAAAGGGGUGCUAAUACCGGAUAAUGUCUUCGGACCAAAGAUUUAUCGCCUUUGGAUGGGCCCGCGUUGGAUUAGCUAGUUGGUAGGGUAAAAGCCUACCAAGGUGACGAUCCAUAGCUGGUCUGAGAGGUUGAUCAGCCACACUGGGACUGAGACACGGCCCAGACUCCUACGGGAGGCAGCAGUGGGGAAUAUUGGACAAUGGGCGAAAGCCUGAUCCAGCAAUGCCGCGUGAGUGAUGAAGGCCUUAGGGUUGUAAAGCUCUUUUACCCGGGAUGAUAAUGACAGUACCGGGAGAAUAAGCUCCGGCUAACUCCGUG